AUUGAAAAGGUCUAGAAUAGAAGAUCAACCUAGUAGCAAUGUGUAUUCUUUGUCUCCAAAUUUUGGUUUUGAAAUACGAUUUUCCAAUAAAAAGAACCAAAGCUUCUCAGAGAAAAGGUUAGUUCCAGGUCAGAGCAAGAAAUAUUCAAAAUGAGCUUAAAACAUCUUGUUAUGCCCGAUAACAAACAUGACAGAUUUCAAAAAGUGGCUGCAAAAAUAUUUCCUAUUUCACAUACUUUUUUCCAAUGUGACCUUGCCAUCAAUAAGUGGACUUUUUCUCAGCCUUUUUUAAUCUGGGAGAGUUCUAUGACUGCUUUGAUGAAAAGAGUAUGGAGGAAAAGACCCUAUCCCAGUUCCAGCAGUAGAUCUUAACUGGUCUAGCAGCUUGCAUUUUAUACCUCUUAGAAUGUUUGCUCUUGGAAAAUUCUAUCUUGGAACCC
This 440-nucleotide long non-coding RNA is filed under the name Homo sapiens (human). Its description in RNAcentral is "HSALNT0306769". Lineage: Eukaryota; Metazoa; Chordata; Mammalia; Primates; Hominidae. The record is from RNAcentral.